GAUGAACGCUGGCGGCGUGCCUAAUACAUGCAAGUCGAGCGAAUGGAUUAAGAGCUUGCUCUUAUGAAGUUAGCGGCGGAUGGGUGAGUAACACGUGUGUAACCUGCGCAUAAGACUGGGAUAACUACGGGAAACAGGGGCUAAUACCGGAUAACAUUUUGAACCGCAUGGUUCGAAAUUGAAAGGCGGCUUCGGCUGUCACUUAUGGAUGGACCCGCGUCGCAUUAGCUAGCUGGUGAGGUAACGGUCCACCAAGGCAACGAUGCGUAGCCGACCUGAGAGGGUGAGCGGCCACACUGGGACUGAGACACGGCCCAGACUCCUACGGGAGGCAGCAGUAGGGAAUCUGCCACAAUGGACGAAAGGCUGAUGGAACAACGCCGCGUGAGUGAAGAAGGUUCUCGGAUCGUAAAACUCUGUUGUGAGGGAAGAACAAGUACCGGAGUAACUGCCGGUGCCUUGACGGUACCUCAUUAGAAAGCCACGGCUAACUACGUGCCAGCCGCCGCAGUAA
This 514-nucleotide ribosomal RNA is filed under the name uncultured bacterium. RNAcentral describes it as "partial 16S ribosomal RNA". It matches the Rfam family "Bacterial small subunit ribosomal RNA", at positions 28 to 523 of the family's 1533-position model. The record is from RNAcentral.